RNAcentral lists this ribosomal RNA (483 nucleotides) under uncultured bacterium. RNAcentral's name for it is "partial 16S ribosomal RNA". It matches the Rfam family "Bacterial small subunit ribosomal RNA", at positions 28 to 507 of the family's 1533-position model. The record is from RNAcentral.
GACGAACGCUGGCGGCGUGCUUAACACAUGCAAGUCGAACGAUGAAGCGGGUGCUUGCACUCGUGGAGUAGUGGCGAACGGGCGAGUAACACGUGAGUAACCUGUCCUUUUCUUUGGGAGAACGGCUGGAAACGGCUGCUAAUACUGGAUAUUCAGGCUGCAUCGCAUGGUGUGGUUUGGAAAGGUGUUUUCUGGGGUUGGGUGGGCUCGCGGCCUGUCAGCUUGGUGGUGGGGGGAUGGCUCAACAAGGCUUUGACGGGUAGCCGGGCUGAGGGGGUGGUCGGUCGCACUGGGACGGAGCUACGGCCCAGACUCCUACGGGGGGCAGAAGUGGGGAAUAUUGGAGCAUGGACGAUAGUUUGAUGCAGCGUCGGUGCGUGGAGGGUGUAGGCCGUCGGGUUGUGAACUCCUUUUUCUCGCGAAACAGGCACAGUUUUGGCUGUGUUGAUGGUAGUGGGAGAAGAAGCGCCGGCUAACUACGUG